AAUAAUGAUCCUUCCGCAG
Molecule: ribosomal RNA, 19 nt
Filed under: Steinernema abbasi
Lineage: Eukaryota; Metazoa; Nematoda; Chromadorea; Rhabditida; Steinernematidae
Description: partial 28S ribosomal RNA
Source: RNAcentral